GGCGCACGGGUGAGUAACACGUGACUAACCUACCCUGGAGUGGGGAAUAACUGAGGGAAACCUUAGCUAAUACCGCAUAAUACCUACGGGUCAAAGGAGCAAUUCGCUUCAGGAGGGGGUCGCGGCCGAUUAGUUAGUUGGCGGGGUAAUGGCCCACCAAGACAGUGAUCGGUAUCCGGCCUGAGAGGGCGCACGGACACACUGGAACCGAAACACGGUCCAGACUCCUACGGGAGGCAGCAGUGGGGAAUUUUGCGCAAUGGGGGAAACCCUGACGCAGCAACGCCGCGUGGAGGAUGAAAUCCCUUGGGAUGUAAACUCCUUUCGAUCGGGACGAUUAUGACGGUACCGGAAGAAGAAGCCCCGGCUAACUUCGUGCCAGCAGCCGCGGUAAUACGAGGGGGGCAAGCGUUGUUCGGAAUUAUUGGGCGUAAAGGGAGCGUAGGCGGUUUUGUAAGUCGUGUGUGAAAUCUUCGGGCUCAACUCGAAGUCUGCACACGAAACUGCAGGGCUUGAGUAUGGGAGAGGUGAGUGGAAUUCCUGGUGUAGCGGUGAAAUGCGUAGAUAUCAG
Molecule: ribosomal RNA, 571 nt
Filed under: uncultured bacterium
Lineage: Bacteria
Description: bacterial SSU rRNA
Rfam family: Bacterial small subunit ribosomal RNA
Source: RNAcentral